RNAcentral lists this long non-coding RNA (866 nucleotides) under Sinocyclocheilus grahami. RNAcentral's name for it is "lncRNA (ENSSGRG00000018700.1)". Lineage: Eukaryota; Metazoa; Chordata; Actinopteri; Cypriniformes; Cyprinidae. The record is from RNAcentral.
GGCGCCGUGCCGCACGCAGAGGGGGCGGAGUCUCGCAGAUCCCGCCCACCGUCGGGUAAUCGUCGGUUCGACUGAACCCAACUGCAGUGCAGAGUCGGAAUGGGGGGCUUGGCCCCGGUCCAGCACGGUCCAAAUUAGCUCUCCGUUGAAUUACAUGCAGUCAGCCAGUGGAAGCAGCUGAGAUCCUGACGCCCCAGUCCCGCAGCCUUGUAUGGGGGGUCCGAGCCCCGCAAGCCUGCCGCUCGGGUCCGCUUUCGUCCACGAACGCCUUUUCCAGCAGCAACUUUACAGCGAAAGGACAAGAACAAAGACUUUAUGUGUUCUUUCUUCAAAAUGACACCAACAGGAGCAAUGGGGGAUCCCAUUAGAGCUCACAGCGGUGUUCCUGAACCUGGUGGCGCGGACACAUACACCACACACACACCCCACACACAGACACAUACACCACACACACACCACACACACAGACACAUACACCACACACACACCCCACACACACACACACCACACCACACACACCCCACACACACCCCACACACACCACACUUUUGUGCAAUUUAGUAGAAAGCCAGAAAAAGUAUAUUCUUGUAAAACAUACUCAGAUAAUCUUUAAAUUUUUUGUAAUGCAGUGCAUGCUCAAAUAUCAGUGAAUCCUAAAAUUGUGAUUUAUAGAUCUGGAAAAUGCACGACAAUGUCUAAAAUUGUAUAAAAGUCAUGGAAAGUGAAUAUGAUUUCUGUUUUUGAGUUAUGCACUGCUCUCAAUUAUUUAAUCGUCUAGAAAUUGUUCCAUAACAUGAUUUUUGAAAGCUCAUCAGUGACCAUUUGAAAAUGAUUUGCACAGUUCAUCCUGCGUGGUUUCAAAUCUG